Molecule: ribosomal RNA, 1447 nt
Filed under: uncultured bacterium
Lineage: Bacteria
Description: 16S ribosomal RNA
Rfam family: Bacterial small subunit ribosomal RNA
Source: RNAcentral
AGAGUUUGAUCCUGGCUCAGGAUGAACGCUGGCGGUAUGCUUAACACAUGCAAGUCGAACGAAAGUUUUUAACUUUAGUGGCGAACGGGUGCGUAAUACGUGAGAAUCUGCCCUUAGGAGGAGGAUAACUGCUGGAAACGGCUGCUAACACUCCAUAUGUCGAGAGAUGAAAUAAUUUAUUGCCUAAGGAUGAGCUCGCGCCUGAUUAGCUAGUUGGUGAGGUAAUGGCUCACCAAGGCCACGAUCAGUAGCUGGUUUGAGAGAACGAUCAGCCACACUGGGACUGAGACACGGCCCAGACUCCUCCGGGAGGCAGCAGUGAGGAAUCUUCCGCAAUGGGCGAAAGCCUGACGGAGCAAUACCGCGUGAGGGAUGAAGGCCUUUGGGUUGUAAACCUCUUUUUUCAAGGAGGAAGUUCUGACGUGUACUUGAAGAAUAAGCAUCGGCUAACUCCGUGCCAGCAGCCGCGGUAAUACGGGGGAUGCAAGUGUUAUCCGGAAUUAUUGGGCGUAAAGCGUCUGUAGGUGGUUAAAUAAGUCUACUGUUAAAGCUUGAAACUUAAUUUCAGAGAUGCAGUAGAAACUAUUUGACUAGAGUAUAAUUGAGGUAGAAGGAAUUUCCAGUGGAGUGGUGAAAUGCGUAGAGAUUGGAAAGAACACCAAUUGCGAAGGCAUUCUAUUAAAUUAUUCUGACACUCAGAGACGAAAGCUAGGGUAGCAAAUGGGAUUAGAUACCCCAGUAGUCCUAGCCGUAAACGAUGGAUACUAUAUAUUAGACGUAUCGACCCGUUUGGUAUUAAAGCUAACGCGUUAAGUAUCCCGCCUGGGGAGUAUGCGCGCAAGCGUGAAACUCAAAGGAAUUGACGGGGGCCCGCACAAGCGGUGGAGCAUGUGGUUUAAUUUGAUGCAACGCGAAGAACCUUACCAGGGUUUGACAUGGUACAAAAUUUCUUGAAAAAGAAUGGGUGAUACACACGUACACACAGGUGGUGCAUGGCUGUCGUCAGCUCGUGUCGUGAGAUGUUGGGUUAAGUCCCGCAACGAGCGCAACCCUUAUUUUUAGUUGCUAAUUUAUUUUAGGUUUUCUAGAAAGACUGCCGGUGAUAAACCGGAGGAAGGUGUGGAUGACGUCAAGUCAUCAUGCCCCUUACAUCCUGGGCUACACACGUACUACAAUGCUACGGACAAAGGGCAGCAAGUUCGCGAGGACAAGCAAAUCCCAUAAACCGUAGCUCAGUUCAGAUCGUAGGCUGCAACUCGCCUACGUGAAGGAGGAAUCGCUAGUAAUCGCAGGUCAGCAUACUGCGGUGAAUACGUUCCCGGGCCUUGUACACACCGCCCGUCACACCAUGGGAGCUGGUCAUGCCCGAAACCGUUUGCUUAACCUUUAUGGAGAGCGGCGUCUAAGGUAGGGUUAGUGACUGGGGUGAAGUCGUAACAAGGUAACC